UACGGAGGGGGCGAGCGUUAUUCGGAAUUAUUGGGCGUAAAGGGCGCGUAGGCGGCUUGACAAGUCAAAGGUGAAAUCCCUCGGCUCAACUGAGGAACUGCCUUUGAAACUGUCUGGCUUGAGGCCGGGAGGGGGUAGCGGAAUUCCCAGUGUAGCGGUGAAAUGCGUAGAUAUUGGGAGGAACACCAGUGGCGAAGGCGGCUACCUGGACCGGUUCUGACGCUGAGGCGCGAAAGCGUGGGUAGCAAACAGG
This 253-nucleotide ribosomal RNA is filed under the name uncultured bacterium. RNAcentral's name for it is "partial 16S ribosomal RNA". It matches the Rfam family "Bacterial small subunit ribosomal RNA", at positions 524 to 776 of the family's 1533-position model. The record is from RNAcentral.